GACAGAGGGUGCAAACGUUGCUCGGAUUUACUGGGCGUAAAGCGCGUGUAGGCGGGCGACUAAGUCGGAUGUGAAAUCCCUGGGCUCAACCUAGGAACUGCAUUCGAAACUGGUCACCUAGAGUGAUGGAGAGGAAAGCGGAAUUCCCGGUGUAGAGGUGAAAUUCGUAGAUAUCGGGAGGAACACCAGUGGCGAAGGCGGCUCUCUGGGACGGUACUGACGCUGAGACGCGAAAGCGUGGGGAGCAAACAGG
This 253-nucleotide ribosomal RNA is filed under the name uncultured bacterium. RNAcentral's name for it is "partial 16S ribosomal RNA". It matches the Rfam family "Bacterial small subunit ribosomal RNA", at positions 524 to 776 of the family's 1533-position model. The record is from RNAcentral.